AUUGAACGCUGGCGGCAGGCCUAACACAUGCAAGUCGAACGAGUGGCGGACGGGUGAGUAAUGUCUGGGAAACUGCCUGAUGGAGGGGGAUAACUACUGGAACCGGUAGCUAAUACCGCAUACCAUCAGAUGUGCCCAGAUGGGAUUAGCUAGUAGGUGAGGUAACGGCUCACCUAGGCGACGAUCCCUACCUGAUCUGAGAGGAUGACCAGCAAGACUGGAACUGAGACACGGUCCAGACUCCUAAGAGAGGCAGCAGUGGGGAAUAUUGCACAAUGGGCGCAAGCCUGAUGCAGCCAUGCCGCAUGUAUGAAGAAGGCCUUCGGGUUGUAAAGUACUUUCAGCGUGGAGGCGUUACCCGCAGAAGAAGCACCGGGUAACUCCGUGCCAGCAGCCGCGGUAAUUC
This 406-nucleotide ribosomal RNA is filed under the name uncultured bacterium. Its description in RNAcentral is "partial 16S ribosomal RNA". It matches the Rfam family "Bacterial small subunit ribosomal RNA", at positions 30 to 526 of the family's 1533-position model. The record is from RNAcentral.